RNAcentral lists this ribosomal RNA (496 nucleotides) under uncultured bacterium. RNAcentral's name for it is "partial 16S ribosomal RNA". It matches the Rfam family "Bacterial small subunit ribosomal RNA", at positions 28 to 506 of the family's 1533-position model. The record is from RNAcentral.
GAUGAACGCUGGCGGCGUGCCUAAUACAUGCAAGUCGAGCGAACAGACGAGGAGCUUGCUCCUCUGACGUUAGCGGCGGACGGGUGAGUAACACGUGGAUAACCUACCUAUAAGACUGGGAUAACUUCGGGAAACCGGAGCUAAUACCGGAUAAUAUAUUGAACCGCAUGGUUCAAUAGUGAAAGACGGUUUUGCUGUCACUUAUAGAUGGAUCCGCGCCGCAUUAGCUAGUUGGUAAGGUAACGGCUUACCAAGGCAACGAUGCGUAGCCGACCUGAGAGGGUGAUCGGCCACACUGGAACUGAGACACGGUCCAGACUCCUACGGGAGGCAGCAGUAGGGAAGCUUCCGCAAGGGGCGAAAGCCUGACGGAGCAACGCCGCGUGAGUGAUGAAGGUCUUCGGAUCGUAAAACUCUGUUAUUAGGGAAGAACAAAUGUGUAAGUAACGAUGCACGUCUGGACGGUACCUAAGCAGAAAGCCACGGCUAACUACGU